CGAGGACCAGAGCGGGCCGACGUACCCACGGUUUUAUCGCAACACCUUGCCCAACCCACGCUUCGAAAAGUAGCAAAGGUGGUGUCUCGGCAGCAAGCCACUUCAGCACUGCUACGAUGACAAGUCCAUAGGGUUUGACCAUCUUGCAGUAAUGGCAAAUGACCUACGAUUGCAUUUUUAUUGAAUCUAAUAAAGCAAUAAAGAGAAAUUUCACAUCAG
This is a long non-coding RNA of Rhipicephalus microplus (southern cattle tick), 219 nucleotides long. The record is from RefSeq and is a predicted model, not a curated record. Lineage: Eukaryota; Metazoa; Arthropoda; Arachnida; Ixodida; Ixodidae.